GGGGAUGUAUGACAGCUGGUGCUGUCCCCGGACUUCAAAUCCGUGUGUCGGGGCGCAGAACGUCCCGAGGUGUGUUCGAUUCGCACACGUCCCCGCCA
Molecule: transfer RNA, 98 nt
Filed under: Peptococcaceae bacterium
Lineage: Bacteria; Bacillati; Bacillota; Clostridia; Eubacteriales; Peptococcaceae
Description: tRNA-Sec
Rfam family: Selenocysteine transfer RNA
Source: RNAcentral